CUCUCCAGCUCCCCCAGACCUCCCAUCCUCUCAGUCACGAGGCCAGACAAGUAUAAAACUGGCUCCUGCCACAUGGAAGGAAACUUGUUCUCCCCAGGAAGGGUCUGGAAGGGUCAUUUAGAGCCUUAGCUCCAACAACAAGCUGACUUAGCAAAAGGAAGCAAUGCCAACAUUGAAACUAGCCACCCAGAAAGAUGAACGAGUAUCAACCAAAAACACGUUAGCAAAAAUUUCAGUAACAGGCAUUAAAAAGGAGAAGAGCCAAAGAGAGAGACAGAGCAUGAACGGGGGAGGGGCAGAGAGAGAGGGAGACAC
Molecule: long non-coding RNA, 315 nt
Organism: Leopardus geoffroyi (Geoffroy's cat)
Lineage: Eukaryota; Metazoa; Chordata; Mammalia; Carnivora; Felidae
Exons: 3
Source: RefSeq, a predicted model, not a curated record